CUAAAUACUACCCAGUGACCGAUAGCGUAUAGUACUGUGAAGGAAAGGUGAAAAGCACCCCGGGAGGGGAGUGAAAAAGAACCUGAAACCCUGUGCCUACAAGCACCUAGAGCACGUCAAUGUGUGAUAGGGUACUUUUUGUAGAACGGUCCGGCGAGCGAUUGUAUGCAGCAAGGUUAAGGACUUAAGGUCUGGAGCCGAAGCGAAAGCGAGUUUGAAAAGGGCGUUAAGUUGCAUAUAAUGGGCCCGAAACCGGGUGACCUACCCAUGGUCAGGUUGAAGUGGAAGUAAAAUUCCAUGGAGGACCGAACCGACCUCCGUUGAAAAGGCGGCGGAUGAACUGUGGGUAGCGGAGAAAUUCCAAUCGAACCCGGAGAUAGCUGGUUCUCCCCGAAAUAGUUUUAGGACUAGCCUCAAGUUAGAUACCUGGAGGUAAAGCACUGAAUAGCCUAGCGGCCGAGAGGUUAGCGAAGCUUAUCAAACUCAGAAUGCCAGAGUAUUGAUGCUUGGGAGUCAGACAGUGUCAGAUAAAUGUCAUUGUCAAAAGGGAAACAGCCCAGAUCUACAGCUAAGGUCCCAAAGUCAGGUUAAGUGGAAAACGAUGUGAAGAUACGCAGACAACCAGGAUGUUGGCUCAGAAGCAGCCACUCAUUCAAAGAGUGCGUAAUAGCUCACUGGUCGAGCGUCUUUGCGCGGAGAAUUUAACGGGGCUAAACCUGACACCGAAGCUUAGGCAAUACAGCAAUGUAUUGGGUAGGGGAGCGUUGUAUACGCGGUGAAACAGUAGCGCAAGCGGCUGUGGAGUGUAUAGAAGUGAGAAUGCCGGAAUGAGUAGCGCGAAUGCAGUGAGAAUCUGCAUGGCCGAAAGCCUCAGGUUUCUGGAGGAAGGUUCGUCCGCUCCAGGUUAGUCGGGAGCUAAGGUGAGGCCUAACGGCGUAGCCGAUGCACAGACGGUAGAGAUUCCGUCACCACCAAAAGAGUUAAGCACAGGGACACAUUUGAAGUCUCAGAGCCGGGUGUUGGUUCCGGUAGAGAUCGAGGGAAGUUAGUACCGAAGUCUGGGAUGGAAGAUGGCGAGAAAAGCUGUGUGUAUUUCUGAGGUGCCCGUACCGCAAACCGACACAGGUAGGUAGGAAGAAGAUUCUAAGGCCAACGGGAGAAGGGUUGUUAAGGAACUCGGCAAAUUGACCCCGUAACUUCGGGAGAAGGGGUGCUCCAGAGAUGGAGCCGCAGAGAAUCGGCCCAAGCAACUGUUUACCAAAAACACAGGUUUGUGCUAAAUCGAAAGAUGACGUAUACGAGCUGACGCCUGCCCGGUGCUGGAAGGUUAAGAGGAGAUGUGCAAGCAUUGAAUCGAAGCCCCAGUGAACGGCGGCCGUAACUAUAACGGUCCUAAGGUAGCGAAAUUCCUUGUCAGGUAAGUUCUGACCCGCAUGAAAGGCGUAAUGAUUUGGGCACUGUCUCAACAGCCCGCCCGGCGAAAUUGUAGUACCGGUGAAGAUGCCGGUUACCCGCGACAAGACGGAAAGACCCCAUGGAGCUUUACUGUAGCCUAAUAUUGGGUUUCGAUGUUGCAUGCACAGGAUAGAUGGGACACAGGGAAACAAGUGCUUUGGCAUUUGUGGAGUGGCCGUUGGGAUACCAUCCUUGCGAUAUUGGAAUUCUAACCUGCGCCUUUGAAUCAAGGCGGGGGACAUUGUUAGGUGGGCAGUUUGACUGGGGCGGUCGCCUCCUAAAGAGUAACGGAGGCGUUCAAAGGUUCGCUCAGCUUGAACGGAAAUCAAGCAAAAGAGUGCAAACGCAGAAGCGAGCCUAACUGCGAGACUGACGGGUCGAGCAGUAACGAAAGUUGGAGUUAGUGAUCCGGUGGUAUGUGAGUGGAAAUGCCAUCGCUCAACGGAUAAAAGUUACCCUGGGGAUAACAGGCUGAUCUCCCCCAAGAGUCCACAUCGACGGGGAGGUUUGGCACCUCGAUGUCGGCUCAUCGCAUCCUGGGGCUGUAUUCGGUCCCAAGGGUUUGGCUGUUCGCCAAUUAAAGCGGUACGCGAGCUGGGUUCAGAACGUCGUGAGACAGUUCGGUCCCUAU
RNAcentral lists this ribosomal RNA (2086 nucleotides) under human gut metagenome. RNAcentral's name for it is "bacterial LSU rRNA". It matches the Rfam family "Bacterial large subunit ribosomal RNA", at positions 466 to 2641 of the family's 2925-position model. The record is from RNAcentral.